AGUUGUUAGAUGGACAAGAUGACAUUUUAAAAUUACUGUAUAUUGGUGCCUCAUAUGAAAUUCCAUCGGAUCAACAGUAUUGUGUCCUAAAUGACCCCACUAAGCAGGCUGGGAAGACCUGAUUCAGCACUGUAUUUAGGUGUCUUCAGUACUGGAUUCCUAUAGGCUAUUCUGAGUUCAUAAAUAUGCGGAACUUCAUACAAGCAGCCCUUGAAAGUCAAUGUCUGCAGAUUUUACUGGUUGUUCUUAGUGACAUUGACAUCUCACUGUGAAAACUUUCACGCUGUUGGACUACACACGUGGGCUGCCCUGGAAGUGAUUCUUAAACCGGAGAAGAUCUCUGUAGAUGUGAGGAGGCACAAAAGGGACAGUUUAUUCUUUCGAAGUUGCUGGAACUGCUUGCAGUAAGAAAUAAAAGCUGUGCGUCAAUCAAGAAAACUAUUUCAAUUGUUCAGAACAUGCUGCUAAACUAACCUUUGCAGCUACAUUUUUAGACGUACCAUG
This is a long non-coding RNA of Chrysemys picta bellii (western painted turtle), 504 nucleotides long. RefSeq lists it as uncharacterized. NCBI's taxonomy places the organism in Eukaryota, Metazoa, Chordata, Testudines, Emydidae. The record is from RefSeq and is a predicted model, not a curated record.